This 24-nucleotide microRNA is filed under the name Gossypium raimondii (Peruvian cotton). RNAcentral's name for it is "gra-miR8762b". The record is from miRBase by way of RNAcentral. Lineage: Eukaryota; Viridiplantae; Streptophyta; Magnoliopsida; Malvales; Malvaceae.
UUAACGUUUGUUAACUUUGUUGAU